GACGAACGCUGGCGGCGUGCCUAAUACAUGCAAGUAGAACGCUGAAGAGAGGAGCUUGCUCUUCUUGGAUGAGUUGCGAACGGGUGAGUAACGCGUAGGUAACCUGCCUUGUAGCGGGGGAUAACUAUUGGAAACGAUAGCUAAUACCGCAUAACAAUGGAUGACACAUGUCAUUUAUUUGAAAGGGGCAAUUGCUCCACUACAAGAUGGACCUGCGUUGUAUUAGCUAGUAGGUGAGGUAACGGCUCACCUAGGCGACGAUACAUAGCCGACCUGAGAGGGUGAUCGGCCACACUGGGACUGAGACACGGCCCAGACUCCUACGGGAGGCAGCAGUAGGGAAUCUUCGGCAAUGGGGGCAACCCCGACCGAGCAACGCCGCGUGAGUGAAGAAGGUUUUCGGAUCGUAAAGCUCUGUUGUAAGUCAAGAACGAGUGUGAGAGUGGAAAGUUCACACUGUGACGGUAGCUUACCAGAAAGGGACGGCUAACUACGUGCCAGCAGCCGCGGUAAUACGUAGGUCCCGAGCGUUGUCCGGAUUUAUUGGGCGUAAAGCGAGCGCAGGCGGUUUGAUAAGUCUGAAGUUAAAGGCUGUGGCUCAACCAUAGUUCGCUUUGGAAACUGUCAAACUUGAGUGCAGAAGGGGAGAGUGGAAUUCCAUGUGUAGCGGUGAAAUGCGUAGAUAUAUGGAGGAACACCGGUGGCGAAAGCGGCUCUCUGGUCUGUAACUGACGCUGAGGCUCGAAAGCGUGGGGAGCGAACAGG
This 765-nucleotide ribosomal RNA is filed under the name uncultured Streptococcus sp. Its description in RNAcentral is "bacterial SSU rRNA". It matches the Rfam family "Bacterial small subunit ribosomal RNA", at positions 28 to 776 of the family's 1533-position model. The record is from RNAcentral. Lineage: Bacteria; Bacillati; Bacillota; Bacilli; Lactobacillales; Streptococcaceae.